ACGCUCUACAACCCUUUGUGAACAUACCUAUAACUGUUGCUUCGGCGGGUAGGGUCUCCGUGACCCUCCCGGCCUCCCGCCCCCGGGCGGGUCGGCGCCCGCCGGAGGAUAACCAAACUCUGAUUUAACGACGUUUCUUCUGAGUGGUACAAGCAAAUAAUCAAAACUUUUAACAACGGAUCUCUUGGUUCUGGCAUCGAUGAAGAACGCAGCGAAAUGCGAUAAGUAAUGUGAAUUGCAGAAUUCAGUGAAUCAUCGAAUCUUUGAACGCACAUUGCGCCCGCCAGCAUUCUGGCGGGCAUGCCUGUUCGAGCGUCAUUUCAACCCUCAAGCUCUGCUUGGUGUUGGGGCCCUACAGCUGAUGUAGGCCCUCAAAGGUAGUGGCGGACCCUCCCGGAGCCUCCUUUGCGUAGUAACUUUACGUCUCGCACUGGGAUCCGGAGGGACUCUUGCCGUAAAACCCCCCAAUUUUCCAAAGGUUGACCUCGGAUCAGGUAGGAAUACCCGCUGAACUUAAGCAUAUCAAUAAGCGGAGGAAAAGAAACCAACAGGGAUUGCCUCAGUAACGGCGAGUGAAGCGGCAACAGCUCAAAUUUGAAAUCUGGCCCUAGGCCCGAGUUGUAAUUUGCAGAGGAUGCUUUUGGUGCGGUGCCUUCCAAGUUCCCUAGAACGGGACGCCAGAGAGGGUGAGAGCCCCGUACAGUUGGACACCAAGCCUUUGUAAAGCUCCUUCGACGAGUCGAGUAGUUUGGGAAUGCUGCUCAAAAUGGGAGGUAUAUUUCUUCUAAAGCUAAAUACCGGCCAGAGACCGAUAGCGCACAAGUAGAGUGAUCGAAAGAUGAAAAGCACUUUGAAAAGAGGGUUAAACAGCACGUGAAAUUGUUAAAAGGGAAGCGCUUGUGACCAGACUUGCGUCCGGUGAAUCACCCAGCUCUCGCGGCUGGGGCACUUCGCCGGCUCAGGCCAGCAUCAGCUCGCUGUCGGGGACAAAAGCUUCAGGAACGUAGCUCUCUUCGGGGAGUGUUAUAGCCUGUUGCAUAAUACCCUUCGGCGGGCUGAGGUACGCG
Molecule: ribosomal RNA, 1067 nt
Filed under: fungal endophyte
Lineage: Eukaryota; Fungi
Description: eukaryotic LSU rRNA
Rfam family: Eukaryotic large subunit ribosomal RNA (bases 481-1067)
Source: RNAcentral